UGUCACAUUUUACUAUCCCCGCUUUGACACGUGUCACACUAGACUCUUGACAAGAGUACACUCCCUCCAUCUAUCGUGGCAAACAUCCGUUGACCCCCUCCCCCUCUUCCGGGAGCGGCUGGUCACUUCAAAGUGCCCAUUCAACUCAACGCCUCGGGCAACGCUGUUCGUCUAGCACUAGCCAUUAUCAUAAUAUAAUCUCCCUUGAUGUGCCGAGCUCUGAUAAUCUCCCCUUCAUAAUCCACCUGACCACCUGGGAUGAUUUCCUGGACUUUCAACUCGCGCCUUCGCGCAAUGUCUAUCUCCCGGAAACUCUCGUCACGGUCAAGCGUGGACCCCUUUUGUCAAAGACGUCAAAUAGUCUAGACCACCUUUGCACCUAUCUCCCGCCACUCACCCCCCCCCUUGGCUAUCCACGUGUAUAUGGACAAACUUCAUCGUCCGAUCUCAUUCACACUGGAGAGCCCAGAGGGAGCACAUCUAUCUCUUGCUUGAGCUCUAGACUAUUUUCAUUCCCUUAUUUCACUUUGGAUUGGUGGUAUGUAACUUAGUAAAGUGCUUGAGAACCAUUUUACUUAGUAAUGUAAAUAUAUAUUUGUGCAUUUAUUACUACAUUAUUUGUGUACAUAUUUGUGCAUUCUUAUCAUGGAUAAUGUAAGUAGAUUACUGUAUACUUAUAUUUUAUAUCAUGACUUUUGUGGCUAAAUGUUCAAACCAUCUGGACUAGAAUUUAUUAACAAUUCUUACCAGAUGUAUUUAGCUCUUUAACUAUUAUUAAUUUAACUCUGAUAUAUUAGCGCUCAGCACGAGCCUUUAUUAUAUUAUCAUUGAUUAAUUCCUUGGCAGGGAGUUAUCAAAGCAUUUCUGUAAACAUGUCUUAUUACUGAGUAUGUAUUUACUUAUGCUCUAUGUUUACUUAUGUGAGAGCACGGGCGAGUAUCACACGUUGAUCUCCCCAUCUCCUUUCAUCUCAUUUAUCUUAGUGAUGUAUGUACUUGCUAUUCACCGUGAUUGGUUAGCGUCACUUAUAUUACUAAUCACAUAUCACUUAUUACUGUUUGUUAUUUCCCUUUAUGGGAGUCCCCAUUAUUAUUGUUAUCUCCCUUGAUGGGACACUAUAUUCAUUUGUUAGGUCCCUUUGAUAAAUAUGAAACUAGCUUAUGGUUUCUAUACACCAGUCUGAAGAUGUCCUUCACGGAAAGGCAUCUACCUCCCAGUGUUAUCAUUAUGGCUAAGCCGAUUAUCACAUCAUAUCGUUGCAGCUUUUAUCUAUAGGCUACACCCGCCUGAAAUCUUAGCAACCUAAAGCUGAUAGCAGAUUUGCUGGCACCAGAUCUGUAGACAUCAGACCUACUCAUCCUUCAAGAGUCCAAGUAACAACGCUAGCCACAGACUCGUCACUGGCUUAACUGAUUGGUAGACGCAGCUUAGCUCUGCAACCAUACAAGUUGGACUGCACACGGAGCCUGGAUCCACUACGCCAGCCCACCAGCAGACACCAUCAGUACUAGCCACACCAGUCUCACCAGUGCAGCACAAGGACCAAAAGCUAAGCAACCAGCCUAAUGACACUCAGACCACUUGGUUCUAAUAUCUGAUGAUGAUAGUUCUAUAUAUGUAAAUACGCUAGAUUCCAUACUAGCAACUGUACAGCAUUUCACCUUUCAUUAUCUUAUGUUGUAUAAUAAACUGUACAUAAGUUUACAUCUAAAUAUAGUAUUUGUUGCCUGCAUUAUAACGCUGUGCUUGUAGUUUAUAUGUGCAAGUAAGGAUUCUCAAACUAUAAAAUCCCCUAGACACCCAAAACGGCCAAUAUCUUAAUCCGACUUGUCACAAUGGGGGCCUGUCCGGGAUUUUCCCAACUAAUACUACAAGCACAGCAGGCAACUCCCCAGUAUUUUAACUAUCAUCAUUGUUAGAGUACAAGUCUAUCGAGUGUCAUUUAGAGCUAUUUUAUUUUCAUUUAAUUUGUAUUGCUGUUAUUGUACUUCAUUUACAGUUUCUUAAGCACCAAACAAAGGUUAAUACCACCUUUCCUGUAACUCUUAAGUAAUUGCUUUCAGCAGCUCCAUCAUCGUCUCCACCUCUUACUCUACCUUCCGCCUUUCCCCUUCAUCACCCACCCUCACAAUCCUAGCACCCCUCACCACCAUGGCCAGUGGCACACGCUCCAAAGCGGACUCUGACAUGAAACAAAUAAUAGCUGAACUCAGAGAACUCGCGGCCGUCAUGUAUGACGAUGAGGCAGAGCAGAAAGAAUUUGUGAGGGCACAAAUUGAUAAGGAGAUGGAAGAAAGAAGAAAGGAGAAGGAAAGGAGACAUGAAAUAGCUAUGGAAAGAAAGAGAAGGGAAAUAGAAGUAGCCAUAGCCAAAGAGAAGGAAAUACUAGAAAUCAGAGAUAGCUAUAGGCCGCAGAGUUUGGAGCUGAACAGCACAUCCGCAAGACAAGACCAGGAAGCAGAGGAGAGUAAGACCAUGGCUCAUGUCCCAACUGGGUACACUGCCCAAACGGACACAGAAGUUACUGCUAAGGAUGAAAUAUUCAUGCCUGAUACCCCUCCUCUCAACAAUACCACAUUGUCUACUCAGCCCGACCCUCCUGCUCAGUCUAAUAGUCUCUGCGAUGCCCCAAUUCAGCCAAUGCCCUCGAGCAAAACCCCACCUAAAAAAGCACCAAUCCAACAACCAGCCACGCACGAAAACUGUAAUCGCCCAGCAUGUAAGCCUCGUCAUAACCAGAACGAAGCCCACCGUGACUGUAACAACAGCACGCGUGGCGACAAACCUAACCAAGCCUACCAUGACUGCAACAACAGCAUGCGUAGCCGCAAAUCUAACCGCAACCGCCAAAAGCAGCAGGCCCCACAGACCAUUUCAGUAAUGACCUCGGUCCUCAAACCCUCUGUGACUAAUCAGCAAACACAGACUGAUAGAACAGCGGGCGACCCAUACGUCAUAUCAACACUGACUGUGGCCCCUGAACCCACUUCUCUUGGCCUAACGGAAACGGAAGUCCUACCGUUACUUCCUCAACCUGUCUCAUCUCCCCCUGGGAUAGAGACCAUUCUGGUAAAUGGGCGGUACGUCCGAUCCUUAUUUGACACAGGCUGUGCGGUAAGUUCAGUUAUCUGCAAAGCACUGGUUGACCCAGCUGAUCUCACAGAUAGAACUGUGACGAUUCAGUCCAUUGACCGUGAGAUCCCUCCAAAGGUUCUUCCUAUUGCUAGGGUCCACGUAGAGUGCAAGUACGUGCAUGGUACCAUUGAGGCAGUUGUCAUGGAAUCGCCAGUGUAUGACUUCAUUCUAGGCUCCAGGUACAUACCUCUAGGAGUUGUCAAUAAACCAUACUUCUCUCUGCCCGUUGGUAGAACGACAAAGCAGAAAGGUGGCAGCAACCAGCCGGUUGGAAGCCCUGGUCGCCACUCUAACAAAUCCUUUACUGGCUCCUCAGCCAAGCUCAAGCCGCGCCACCCUGGCACUGACACUGCCGGGAAAUCACGAGGUAAGCGUAAUAACUACACUCGUGAAGGUCCGUUUAACUCCUGCUCCUCAGCAAUCAAACCGCUCAUCCCUGGCACUGGCACUGCCAGGAAGUCACAGAGGAAAGUGAACUUUCACUCUCGUGAAAGUGGGCCUCAUCACGGCUCCACCCACACUAUAAGGCCACUCUUCCCUGACAUUGACCGUGUCUGGAAAAUUAGAGGUAAGCCGAUCAAUCGCACUCACGAAGAAACGCCUCACUAUGGCUUUAGAGAUAAGCCCCGUCCAACAUACGCGCAUUGGGCCCUCCGCCAUAACGUCCAUCCCACUUACUGGUCUGCCCCAAGAAGGAGAUGUACCCAGUCCUAUCUACCCGGCCUAUUUCCCCAGGUUUCCAGAAUUGCCCCUUCCACGUGGCAAUCCGCCUGCGGACAGAACAUAGGCGACAGCGGUCCCUUAGGACGGACACCCCUCUGGACCUUGGCAACCUCUUAACUACUGGGAAAAUUUUCUUAAAUGCUACGACCGACAGUAGACGAAACUUGAGUGAUAUCAACGUGAGCACUUUAUAGAUCUUUUAACCAAGACCUAUCUUACGCGGGGAGGGUUGUGACGAACCGUUUUAGCUCACUCAAGAUAUCACUCAGGUCUAAGCAUUUAAUUAAUUUAUUUACUCGCUAUUAAUCGUCAAUUUUAUUAAUUUAGCCAAUCAAGCGCUAAAAACACAGCUACCACCCCUCCAAUCCAACCCCACCCCUUUGGCAUCGAUGUCACAUUUUACUAUCCCCGCUUUGACACGUGUCACACUAGACUCUUGACAAGAGUACACUCCCUCCAUCUAUCGUGGCAAACAUCCGUUGACCCCCUCCCCCUCUUCCGGGAGCGGCUGGUCACUUCAAAGUGCCCAUUCAACUCAACGCCUCGGGCAACGCUGUUCGUCUAGCACUAGCCAUUAUCAUAAUAUAAUCUCCCUUGAUGUGCCGAGCUCUGAUAAUCUCCCCUUCAUAAUCCACCUGACCACCUGGGAUGAUUUCCUGGACUUUCAACUCGCGCCUUCGCGCAAUGUCUAUCUCCCGGAAACUCUCGUCACGGUCAAGCGUGGACCCCUUUUGUCAAAGACGUCAAAUAGUCUAGACCACCUUUGCACCUAUCUCCCGCCACUCACCCCCCCCCCCUUGGCUAUCCACGUGUAUAUGGACAAACUUCAUCGUCCGAUCUCAUUCACACUGGAGAGCCCAGAGGGAGCACAUCUAUCUCUUGCUUGAGCUCUAGACUAUUUUCAUUCCCUUAUUUCACUUUGGAUUGGUGCUUUUAUCUAUAGGCUACACCCGCCUGAAAUCUUAGCAACCUAAAGCUGAUAGCAGAUUUGCUGGCACCAGAUCUGUAGACAUCAGACCUACUCAUCCUUCAAGAGUCCAAGUAACAACGCUAGCCACAGACUCGUCACUGGCUUAACUGAUUGGUAGACGCAGCUUAGCUCUGCAACCAUACAAGUUGGACUGCACACGGAGCCUGGAUCCACUACGCCAGCCCACCAGCAGACACCAUCAGUACUAGCCACACCAGUCUCACCAGUGCAGCACAAGGACCAAAAGCUAAGCAACCAGCCUAAUGACACUCAGACCACUUGGUUCUAAUAUCUGAUGAUGAUAGUUCUAUAUAUGUAAAUACGCUAGAUUCCAUACUAGCAACUGUACAGCAUUUCACCUUUCAUUAUCUUAUGUUGUAUAAUAAACUGUACAUAAGUUUACAUCUAAAUAUAGUAUUUGUUGCCUGCAUUAUAACGCUGUGCUUGUAGUUUAUAUGUGCAAGUAAGGAUUCUCAAACUAUAAAAUCCCCUAGACACCCAAAACGGCCAAUAUC
RNA transcript from Biomphalaria glabrata, 5343 nucleotides. RefSeq lists it as uncharacterized. The record is from RefSeq and is a predicted model, not a curated record. The transcript has 2 exons. Lineage: Eukaryota; Metazoa; Mollusca; Gastropoda; Planorbidae.